AACGCACCUUGCGCUCCUUGGUAUUCCGAGGAGCAUGCCUGUUUGAGUGUCAUGAAAAUCUCAACUGCCUCAGCUUUUUAUAGUUGAAGUGAAGUUGGACUUGGAGGAUAAUUGCUGGCGCAACUCUGGUUGCUUGUUGGCUCCUCUUGAAUGAAUGAGCUUUCCAGUGGAUCGUGCUGAUGUGAUAAUUAUCUACGUCAGACAUGCAGAGGGUUUAGCUCUCCUACUGGAACAGAGGGGGGGAUUGAUGAAUGACAAAUUUGACCUCAAAUCAGGUAGGACUACCCGCUGAACUUAA
RNAcentral lists this unclassified non-coding RNA (298 nucleotides) under uncultured Pseudotomentella. RNAcentral describes it as "partial contains 5.8S ribosomal RNA, internal transcribed spacer 2, and large subunit ribosomal RNA". The stretch from base 1 to 52 matches the Rfam family "5.8S ribosomal RNA", at positions 103 to 154 of the family's 154-position model. The record is from RNAcentral. Lineage: Eukaryota; Fungi; Basidiomycota; Agaricomycetes; Thelephorales; Thelephoraceae.